GAUGAACGCUAGCGGCAGGCUUAAUACAUGCAAGUCGAGGGGCAGCAGCUUUGUAGCAAUACAGGGGCUGGCGACCGGCAAACGGGUGCGGAACACGUACGCAACCUUCCUUUAACUGGAAGAUAGCCCACCGAAAGGUGGAUUAAUACUCCAUAACAUAUUGAAGAGGCAUCUCUUUGAUAUUAAAGCUCCGGCGGUUAAAGAUGGGCGUGCGUCUGAUUAGGUAGUUGGCGGGGUAACGCCCACCAAGCCUUCGAUCAGUAGCUGAUGUGAGAGCAUGAUCAGCCACACGGGCACUGAGACACGGGCCCGACUCCUACGGGAGGCAGCAGUAAGGAAUAUUGGUCAAUGGACGCAAGUCUGAACCAGCCAUGCCGCGUGGAGGAUGAAGGCCCUCUGGGUUGUAGACUUCUUUUGCCAGGGGAUAAAAGUUUCCAAUGCGUGGAAAACUGAAGGUACCUGGUGAAUAAGCCACGGCUAACGUACGUGCCAGCAGCCGACGG
Molecule: ribosomal RNA, 503 nt
Filed under: uncultured bacterium
Lineage: Bacteria
Description: bacterial SSU rRNA
Rfam family: Bacterial small subunit ribosomal RNA
Source: RNAcentral